AUUUACAUGGUUCGACUAUAAGGGUCUACGCCCAGGUGUAAGAUGAAAACUUUCUAUUUUAUUUAUUUAUUUUUAUGUGUACAUAAGAAUAUUUAAUGUUCACUUUUAGCAUGAUCUCAUUCAAUGGUAUAUAAUAAAACUUUGUUGGGAAUAAAGCAAAUGAGUUCCUAUAUCUCAAUGGUAUAGCCUCAGUCUUUAAAACUGAAGGCAUGUAGUUCAUUUCUAUAUAGGGAUCCGGAUUAGAAACUUUUGCUUGUAAACUACUCACACUCUUGCUCUUUUGUUUUUGUUUUUAUUAUGAUCUCAAUAGCUGUGGACAAGUUGUAAUAGAAUAAAUUACAGAAGCAAAUGCAAGGGACAAAAGUCCCUAUAGCCUGAUGGUAGAGUGUGAGUCUUGAGAACUGAAGGGCUAUAGUAGUUUUCUACCUAUAGGAUGUUUGUUUGGGGAUUUGGAGAGUCUAACUCUUGUUUGGAAGCAGGGAACGAAGAGAGAAAAGGAAGUGAAGAGAGA
This 511-nucleotide unclassified non-coding RNA is filed under the name Hevea brasiliensis (rubber tree). The stretch from base 164 to 235 matches the Rfam family "tRNA". The record is from RNAcentral. Lineage: Eukaryota; Viridiplantae; Streptophyta; Magnoliopsida; Malpighiales; Euphorbiaceae.